GUCAGCAGCCACACCAGCUGCAGUUCAGGCCAGGUAACCCACCUGAAGAUAAGCAGGUUUGGGCCUGGCUAAGAGAGGGAGACCAACUUGGAAGUCUGGGUCGCUGCUGGAA
This 112-nucleotide ribosomal RNA is filed under the name Paramormyrops kingsleyae. Lineage: Eukaryota; Metazoa; Chordata; Actinopteri; Osteoglossiformes; Mormyridae. The record is from RNAcentral.